RNAcentral lists this ribosomal RNA (254 nucleotides) under uncultured bacterium. Its description in RNAcentral is "partial 16S ribosomal RNA". It matches the Rfam family "Bacterial small subunit ribosomal RNA", at positions 524 to 776 of the family's 1533-position model. The record is from RNAcentral.
UACGUAGGGGGCAAGCGUUGUUCGGAUUUACUGGGCGUAAAGGGCGCGUAGGCGGCGCGUAAAGUCGGACAUGAAAUCAUUGGGCUUAACCCAAUGGCUGUGCCCGAUACUUGCGUGCUUAGAGUGCGGGAGAGGUAAUCGGAAUUCUCGGUGUAGCGGUGAAAUUCGUAGAUAUCGAGAGGAACUCCAGUGACGAAGGGGGGUUGCUGGACCGACACUGACGCUGAGGCGCGAAAGCUAGGGGAGCAAACGGG